Molecule: non-coding RNA, 69 nt
Organism: Ictidomys tridecemlineatus (thirteen-lined ground squirrel)
Lineage: Eukaryota; Metazoa; Chordata; Mammalia; Rodentia; Sciuridae
Source: Rfam
GGGGUUGUGGCUCAGUGGUAGAGCGCUUGCCUAGCAUGCAUGAGGCACUGGUUUCAAUCCUUAGCACCA